RNAcentral lists this transfer RNA (66 nucleotides) under Coeliccia cyanomelas. RNAcentral's name for it is "tRNA-Asn". Lineage: Eukaryota; Metazoa; Arthropoda; Insecta; Odonata; Platycnemididae. The record is from RNAcentral.
UUAAUUGAAGCCAAAAUAGAGGCUUACCACUGUUAAUGGUAAAAUUGAAAUGAUAUUCCAAUUAAG